GGACCCCCAUGAUGUCCAGCACCGGGAUCUGACCAUCCCUGAGAACACAAUGCUCCCCCGUCCUUUGACACCUGGAGUUCUGAAGGGCUG
This 90-nucleotide small nucleolar RNA is filed under the name Carlito syrichta (Philippine tarsier). Lineage: Eukaryota; Metazoa; Chordata; Mammalia; Primates; Tarsiidae. The record is from RNAcentral.